Molecule: ribosomal RNA, 475 nt
Filed under: uncultured bacterium
Lineage: Bacteria
Description: bacterial SSU rRNA
Rfam family: Bacterial small subunit ribosomal RNA
Source: RNAcentral
ACUCCUACGGGAGGGCAGCAGUAGGGGAAUCUUCCACAAUGGGCGCAAGCCUGAUGGAGCAACACCGCGUGAGUGAAGAAGGGUUUCGGCUCGUAAAGCUCUGUUGUUAAAGAAGAACACGUAUGAGAGUAACUGUUCAUACGUUGACGGUAUUUAACCAGAAAGUCACGGCUAACUACGUGCCAGCAGCCGCGGUAAUACGUAGGUGGCAAGCGUUAUCCGGAUUUAUUGGGCGUAAAGAGAGUGCAGGCGGUUUUCUAAGUCUGAUGUGAAAGCCUUCGGCUUAACCGGAGAAGUGCAUCGGAAACUGGAUGACUUGAGUGCAGAAGAGGGUAGUGGAACUCCAUGUGUAGCGGUGGAAUGCGUAGAUAUAUGGAAGAACACCAGUGGCGAAGGCGGCUACCUGGUCUGCAACUGACGCUGAGACUCGAAAGCAUGGGUAGCGAACAGGAUUAGAUACCCUGGUAGGAUAGCG